This 349-nucleotide long non-coding RNA is filed under the name Mus spicilegus (steppe mouse). RNAcentral's name for it is "lncRNA (ENSMSIG00000023219.1)". Lineage: Eukaryota; Metazoa; Chordata; Mammalia; Rodentia; Muridae. The record is from RNAcentral.
AUUUUCUAGAGACCUUAAAGGAAUGUAUCCUGAAGAAGGAGGUGGUGAGGAGGAACAGGGAGAAGAAAUCGGAUAUGUUAUGUGAGAAAAAGCUAUCUUCAAUAAAAGGAAAAGUGAUUACUGUACAAUAGUAAAAGCCUAAAAAACUAGAUCGCCUGUUGGUGGGGAAAUGGAAGUGAUAGGAGGACAAACAGAAAUGAGAGUAAAAGGGCAAGGAUGAAGAAAACAUCCCGUGAAAGCACAAAUGCACAACAGGAAGACGGAGUUAUGAAUGAAAAUCCCUGGUAGAAGACCAUUUGGAUGAAUCAGACAAAAUAAAGAACAAGGUAGGAAUAUUUUGUCCUGAAGA